GACGAACGCUGGCGGCGUGCUUAACACAUGCAAGUCGAACGGAAAGGCCCUGCUUUUGUGGGGUGCUCGAGUGGCGAACGGGUGAGUAACACGUGAGUAACCUGCCCUUGACUUUGGGAUAACUUCAGGAAACUGGGGCUAAUACCGGAUAGGAGCUCCUGCUGCAUGGUGGGGGUUGGAAAGUUUCGGCGGUUGGGGAUGGACUCGCGGCUUAUCAGCUUGUUGGUGGGGUAGUGGCUUACCAAGGCUUUGACGGGUAGCCGGCCUGAGAGGGUGACCGGCCACAUUGGGCCUGAGAUACGGCCCAGCCUCCUCCGGGAGGCAGCAGUGGGGAAUAUUGCACAAUGGGCGGAAGCCUGAUGCAGCAACGCCGCGUGCGGGAUGACGGCCUUCGGGUUGUAAACCGCUUUCGCCUGUGACGAAGCGUGAGUGACGGUAAUGGGUAAAGAAGCACCGGCUAACUACGUG
This 468-nucleotide ribosomal RNA is filed under the name uncultured bacterium. RNAcentral describes it as "partial 16S ribosomal RNA". It matches the Rfam family "Bacterial small subunit ribosomal RNA", at positions 28 to 507 of the family's 1533-position model. The record is from RNAcentral.